Molecule: ribosomal RNA, 900 nt
Filed under: Enterococcus casseliflavus
Lineage: Bacteria; Bacillati; Bacillota; Bacilli; Lactobacillales; Enterococcaceae
Description: bacterial SSU rRNA
Rfam family: Bacterial small subunit ribosomal RNA
Source: RNAcentral
UGAAAGCCCCCGGCUCAACCGGGGAGGGUCAUUGGAAACUGGGAGACUUGAGUGCAGAAGAGGAGAGUGGAAUUCCAUGUGUAGCGGUGAAAUGCGUAGAUAUAUGGAGGAACACCAGUGGCGAAGGCGGCUCUCUGGUCUGUAACUGACGCUGAGGCUCGAAAGCGUGGGGAGCGAACAGGAUUAGAUACCCUGGUAGUCCACGCCGUAGACAGAUGAGUGCUAAGUGUUGGAGGGUUUCCGCCCUUCAGUGCUGCAGCAAACGCAUUAAGCACUCCGCCUGGGGAGUACGAUCGCAAGGUUGUAAACUCAAAGGAAUUGACGGGGGCCCGCACAAGCGGUGGAGCAUGUGGUUUAAUUCGAAGCAACGCGAAGAACCUUACCAGGUCUUGACAUCCUUUGACCACUCUAGAGAUAGAGCUUCCCCUUCGGGGGCAAAGUGACAGGUGGUGCAUGGUUGUCGUCAGCUCGUGUCGUGAGAUGUUGGGUUAAGUCCCGCAACGAGCGCAACCCUUAUUGUUAGUUGCCAUCAUUUAGUUGGGCACUCUAGCGAGACUGCCGGUGACAAACCGGAGGAAGGUGGGGAUGACGUCAAAUCAUCAUGCCCCUUAUGACCUGGGCUACACACGUGCUACAAUGGGAAGUACAACGAGUUGCGAAGUCGCGAGGCUAAGCUAAUCUCUUAAAGCUUCUCUCAGUUCGGAUUGUAGGCUGCAACUCGCCUACAUGAAGCCGGAAUCGCUAGUAAUCGCGGAUCAGCACGCCGCGGUGAAUACGUUCCCGGGCCUUGUACACACCGCCCGUCACACCACGAGAGUUUGUAACACCCGAAGUCGGUGAGGUAACCUUUUGGAGCCAGCCGCCUAAGGUGGGAUAGAUGAUUGGGGUGAAGUCGUAACA